GACGAACGCUGGCGGCGUGCCUAAUACAUGCAAGUCGAGCGAACAGACGCGGAGCUUGCUCCUCUGACGUUAGCGGCGCAGGUGUGAGUAACACGUGUAUCACCUACCUAUCAGACUGGGAUAACUUCGGGACACCGGAGAUAAUACCGUAUGAUAUCUUGAACCACAUGGUUCAAUAGUGAAAGUCGGUGUUGCUGUCACUUCUAGAUGGAUCCGCGCCGCAUUAUCUAGUUGGUAAGGUAACGGCUUUCCAAGGCAACGAGGCGUGGACGACGUGAGGGGGGGAUCGGCCACACGGGAGCGUAGCCACGCUCAAGGCGCCUACGGGAGGCAGCAGUAGGGAAUCGUCCGCAGUGGGCGAAAGCUUGACGGAGCGACGGCGCGUGAGUGAUGACGGUCUUCGGAUCGGAAAACCCUGUUACGAGUGAAAAACAAAUGUGGAAUGAACCGUGCACGUAUUGACGGUACCUAAUCAGAAAGCCACGGCUAACUACGUG
Molecule: ribosomal RNA, 497 nt
Filed under: uncultured bacterium
Lineage: Bacteria
Description: partial 16S ribosomal RNA
Rfam family: Bacterial small subunit ribosomal RNA
Source: RNAcentral